AGCUGGCCAGAGUGCAGAGUGGUGUUUACAACUAAUCACAACCAGUUACAAAUUCUUUUGUUCCUCUUCACCCCCACCGCUUUCACUUGACUAACCUUAA
Molecule: Y RNA, 100 nt
Filed under: Propithecus coquereli (Coquerel's sifaka)
Lineage: Eukaryota; Metazoa; Chordata; Mammalia; Primates; Indriidae
Description: Y RNA (ENSPCOG00000009846.1)
Rfam family: Y RNA
About the family: Y RNAs are components of the Ro ribonucleoprotein particle (Ro RNP), in association with Ro60 and La proteins. The Y RNAs and Ro60 and La proteins are well conserved, but the function of the Ro RNP is not known.
Source: Rfam by way of RNAcentral